UUUUAGUCUUACUGUAAGGAGUAUUGUGUUGUGAGAAGAUGGAAUGGUACAGGACAUUCUCUUAAAGCUUUCCUUGCUUUCAGACUGCAGUGGUGUCUAGCAGGGCUCGAUGGGAAGGGAAUUGCAGCCUCUAUAGUAACCAGUAAGUCUGGUCCCAACACAUCAGGGAAGAGCUCGGUCUUCAGAGGAAUUACCUCUGAGAGCUGGAAGAGGGUGUUCCUGGUAACUUGGGGCUUCUCUGUCAGUCUCCCCACGGAAACCACAGUCAGAGCUGUGCUCUGUGGAAAGCCUGCAGUGGCUGCUCCCUCGUGCUGUUCUGCUCUCGACUCUCACUCACUGUGGAUAGUGGGCUGGUGGAGUGCGGGCGCCAGAGGGUAGGGGUGAAUGGAAUGGAAACACAGAGGGAACUGUGACCAGCACGUGCGAUGGUCUCUCCACGGCAGACAGAGCCCUGCGUGGGUGAGAAGCAGACUGCGGAACAGGAUUUGGCUUGAUGGCCACCAGCUCUUCCACAAAAAGGGCGGGUCAUGAGGAGGCUGUAGCCAA
This 546-nucleotide long non-coding RNA is filed under the name Homo sapiens (human). Its description in RNAcentral is "non-protein coding lnc-PXDN-10:1". Lineage: Eukaryota; Metazoa; Chordata; Mammalia; Primates; Hominidae. The record is from RNAcentral.